CGGCAACAGCUCAAAUUUGAAAUCUGGCUCCUUCGGGGCCCGAGUUGUAAUUUGCAGAGGAUGCCUCGGGUACGUGUUCCUACUGAGUUCCCUGGAACGGGACGCCAUAGAGGGUGAGAGCCCCGUCUAGUAGGUAACGCAGCCCGUGUGAGGCUCCCUCGAC
Molecule: ribosomal RNA, 163 nt
Filed under: Musidium stromaticum
Lineage: Eukaryota; Fungi; Ascomycota; Sordariomycetes; Glomerellales; Plectosphaerellaceae
Description: partial large subunit ribosomal RNA
Rfam family: Eukaryotic large subunit ribosomal RNA
Source: RNAcentral